GGGUGUGGUGGUGCACACCUGUAGUCCCAGCUACUUGGACGGCUGAGGCAGGAGGAUCACUUGAACCCAGGAGGUUGAGGCUGCAGUGAGCAGAGGUGGUGCCACUGCACUCCAGCCUGGGUGACAAAGUGAGACCCUGUCUCAA
This 145-nucleotide signal recognition particle RNA is filed under the name Chlorocebus sabaeus (green monkey). Its description in RNAcentral is "Metazoan signal recognition particle RNA". It matches the Rfam family "Metazoan signal recognition particle RNA". From Rfam's summary of the family: The signal recognition particle (SRP) is a universally conserved ribonucleoprotein. It is involved in the co-translational targeting of proteins to membranes. Lineage: Eukaryota; Metazoa; Chordata; Mammalia; Primates; Cercopithecidae. The record is from Rfam by way of RNAcentral.